ACCACUGCGCCACCAGGGAAGCCCCUAAAAAGGUGUUUUUAAGGAACUCUGAAUAUUCUGCUGAGCUGAGACUUCACAAAGAGAUGAUAUCAUUGCUGGUUGAGUGCCUCAACUAUUUAAUCGAGGGACAGAGGCAGAAGGUAGUGCUCCAAUUUUCAGCGUUCUAUGAACUUUAGAAACGGCCUUCUGUUUUCAGGGUUCUGCACUUACCUGUCUGCACCAGGUACUUGAUACUGACU
This is a non-coding RNA of Delphinapterus leucas (beluga whale), 239 nucleotides long. The record is from RefSeq and is a predicted model, not a curated record. NCBI's taxonomy places the organism in Eukaryota, Metazoa, Chordata, Mammalia, Artiodactyla, Monodontidae.